CCGACCAGGUUUUUACAGAAGGAUCACUAACAGUCGGUAAGCCAUCAGUUUAAGUUUUUUUUUUUUUUAAAAAAAAAUCGUAUGUAGCAUGUAUUAUCAAGAAUUCUUGUAGUGGAGACUCUUAAUUACAACAACGUAUAUCUUCCUUUUAAAAAAACAACAACAUAUACCUGAGGUUGCUUUUUCAUUGUUUGAAAUAAAUAAAUAAAUCAUGAAAUGCCAAUAACAAAUUAAAUUUUUCUCUCUGAACGUAGUUUCUGCAUAAACAACAUCUUUAGCAGAAAAAAAAGGUUGAAAUAAACAUUGCACUUUCACCCAAUUUUUUCUUUGCAGAGAUCUAUUAAUCAGAGAAACACAUACACACCCAGAAAGUGGGAAAUGAGGAGAGGGAUAAAGAACAACAUAAUUGAAAAAGAAACCGGUGUUUAAUUAAUUGUCAUGCGAAUCAAAUUAAAGCUGAAUAUUGCUACAUGAUUAUUCUAAAAGGAGAAAAAAGGGUUACUUAGUAACACGGAAUAUACUCAUAGUCAUAGCCAAAACUGAAACGGAUCGGACCAAGAUGCUUGAUUCCCCAGGAGGAGUUGUUGGAUCUUGCAGCAAAACCAACAAAGACCCUUUUCACUCCAACCAAAAAAGCAACUAGGGUUCACUCAUAAGCAUAAGCAAACAUUACCUUUUCACUUUGUCAUCAACUUCCCCUUGUGCUUGCUUGUGACCUUGUUUAGUGUGUGAAGGUAGCUCCUUGUUGUGUUGGUGAAGGUGAUUAUGAUCAUCAAGUGCAAUAAGGGGAUGGUGGAUGAUGAUGAUGAUGUUUAUGAUAAAGGAAUUAGAGUUGGUAGCAAUGAGGGGGUAAUAAUAAUGAUGGUGAUGAAGGGUCAGAGAGAGUGGCAUGGAGGAGUAGGGCAUGAUGAUUAAUGUUGCUGUUGUGUGAUGUAGUUGAAAGGUUGGAGAAAAAUCCAAGGUAGUUUGUGUCAUCCUUCUCUUUCUCUGUGAUGAGUAAGAGAGAAAAAAAGAGAAUAAUUGAUAUAUGUGUGUCUCGAGGGGAGAAAAAAAUUGUCGUGAAUAUCGUGGUGCCAACUUUUUCAUGCCCCUCUCCAACUUUUGUUGGCAAGGAAAAGGAAAUAUGCAUCCCGUCUCAUUUUCCUUGCAGGAAUUAUUAGCUGCCACUGUUCCCUCGGCUACAAUAUACAAUCCAAUCAAAUUUUACUGCUUCUGGGAUGAUUUUGUUCACACUUAUUAAUUACAAGAAAUGGGUCUAUUUUCAAACUGAG
Molecule: long non-coding RNA, 1271 nt
Filed under: Glycine max (soybean)
Lineage: Eukaryota; Viridiplantae; Streptophyta; Magnoliopsida; Fabales; Fabaceae
Description: long non-coding RNA (GMAX_LNC001247)
Source: RNAcentral